Molecule: ribosomal RNA, 2908 nt
Filed under: Escherichia coli
Lineage: Bacteria; Pseudomonadati; Pseudomonadota; Gammaproteobacteria; Enterobacterales; Enterobacteriaceae
Description: 23S ribosomal RNA
Rfam family: Bacterial large subunit ribosomal RNA
Source: RNAcentral
GGUUAAGCGACUAAGCGUACACGGUGGAUGCCCCCGGCAGUCAGAGGCGAUGAAGGACGUGCUAAUCUGCGAUAAGCGUCGGUAAGGUGAUAUGAACCGUUAUAACCGGCGAUUUCCGAAUGGGGAAACCCAGUGUGAUUCGUCACACUAUCAUUAACUGAAUCCAUAGGUUAAUGAGGCGAACCGGGGGAACUGAAACAUCUAAGUACCCCGAGGAAAAGAAAUCAACCGAGAUUCCCCCAGUAGCGGCGAGCGAACGGGGAGCAGCCCAGAGCCUGAAUCAGUGUGUGUGUUAGUGGAAGCGUCUGGAAAGGCGCGCGAUACAGGGUGACAGCCCCGUACACAAAAAUGCACAUACUGUGAGCUCGAUGAGUAGGGCGGGACACGUGGUAUCCUGUCUGAAUAUGGGGGGACCAUCCUCCAAGGCUAAAUACUCCUGACUGACCGAUAGUGAACCAGUACCGUGAGGGAAAGGCGAAAAGAACCCCGGCGAGGGGAGUGAAAAAGAACCUGAAACCGUGUACGUACAAGCAGUGGGAGCCUCUUUUAUGGGGUGACUGCGUACCUUUUGUAUAAUGGGUCAGCGACUUAUAUUCUGUAGCAAGGUUAACCGAAUAGGGGAGCCGAAGGGAAACCGAGUCUUAACCGGGCGUUAAGUUGCAGGGUAUAGACCCGAAACCCGGUGAUCUAGCCAUGGGCAGGUUGAAGGUUGGGUAACACUAACUGGAGGACCGAACCGACUAAUGUUGAAAAAAUUAGCGGAUGACUUGUGGCUGGGGGUGAAAGGCCAAUCAAACCGGGAGAUAGCUGGUUCUCCCCGAAAGCUAUUUAGGUAGCGCCUCGUGAAUUCAUCUCCGGGGGUAGAGCACUGUUUCGGCAAGGGGGUCAUCCCGACUUACCAACCCGAUGCAAACUGCGAAUACCGGAGAAUGUUAUCACGGGAGACACACGGCGGGUGCUAACGUCCGUCGUGAAGAGGGAAACAACCCAGACCGCCAGCUAAGGUCCCAAAGUCAUGGUUAAGUGGGAAACGAUGUGGGAAGGCCCAGACAGCCAGGAUGUUGGCUUAGAAGCAGCCAUCAUUUAAAGAAAGCGUAAUAGCUCACUGGUCGAGUCGGCCUGCGCGGAAGAUGUAACGGGGCUAAACCAUGCACCGAAGCUGCGGCAGCGACACUGUGUGUUGUUGGGUAGGGGAGCGUUCUGUAAGCCUGUGAAGGUGUACUGUGAGGUAUGCUGGAGGUAUCAGAAGUGCGAAUGCUGACAUAAGUAACGAUAAAGCGGGUGAAAAGCCCGCUCGCCGGAAGACCAAGGGUUCCUGUCCAACGUUAAUCGGGGCAGGGUGAGUCGACCCCUAAGGCGAGGCCGAAAGGCGUAGUCGAUGGGAAACAGGUUAAUAUUCCUGUACUUGGUGUUACUGCGAAGGGGGGGACGGAGAAGGCUAUGUUGGCCGGGCGACGGUUGUCCCGGUUUAAGCGUGUAGGCUGGUUUUCCGGUGCAAAUCCGGAAAAUCAAGGCUGAGGCGUGAUGACGAGGCACUACGGUGCUGAAGCAACAAAUGCCCUGCUUCCAGGAAAAGCCUCUAAGCAUCAGGUAACAUCAAAUCGUACCCCAAACCGACACAGGUGGUCAGGUAGAGAAUACCAAGGCGCUUGAGAGAACUCGGGUGAAGGAACUAGGCAAAAUGGUGCCGUAACUUCGGGAGAAGGCACGCUGAUAUGUAGGUGAAGUCCCUCGCGGAUGGAGCUGAAAUCAGUCGAAGAUACCAGCUGGCUGCAACUGUUUAUUAAAAACACAGCACUGUGCAAACACGAAAGUGGACGUAUACGGUGUGACGCCUGCCCGGUGCCGGAAGGUUAAUUGAUGGGGUCAGCGCAAGCGAAGCUCUUGAUCGAAGCCCCGGUAAACGGCGGCCGUAACUAUAACGGUCCUAAGGUAGCGAAAUUCCUUGUCGGGUAAGUUCCGACCUGCACGAAUGGCGUAAUGAUGGCCAGGCUGUCUCCACCCGAGACUCAGUGAAAUUGAACUCGCUGUGAAGAUGCAGUGUACCCGCGGCAAGACGGAAAGACCCCGUGAACCUUUACUAUAGCUUGACACUGAACAUUGAGCCUUGAUGUGUAGGAUAGGUGGGAGGCUUUGAAGUGUGGACGCCAGUCUGCAUGGAGCCGACCUUGAAAUACCACCCUUUAAUGUUUGAUGUUCUAACGUGGACCCGUGAUCCGGGUUGCGGACAGUGUCUGGUGGGUAGUUUGACUGGGGCGGUCUCCUCCUAAAGAGUAACGGAGGAGCACGAAGGUUGGCUAAUCCUGGUCGGACAUCAGGAGGUUAGUGCAAUGGCAUAAGCCAGCUUGACUGCGAGCGUGACGGCGCGAGCAGGUGCGAAAGCAGGUCAUAGUGAUCCGGUGGUUCUGAAUGGAAGGGCCAUCGCUCAACGGAUAAAAAGGUACUCCGGGGAUAACAGGCUGAUACCGCCCAAGAGUUCAUAUCGACGGCGGUGUUUGGCACCUCGAUGUCGGCUCAUCACAUCCUGGGGCUGAAGUAGGUCCCAAGGGUAUGGCUGUUCGCCAUUUAAAGUGGUACGCGAGCUGGGUUUAGAACGUCGUGAGACAGUUCGGUCCCCUAUCUGCCGUGGGCGCUGGAGAACUGAGGGGGCUGCUCCUAGUACGAGAGGACCGGAGUGGACGCAUCACUGGUGUUCGGGUUGUCAUGCCAAUGGCACUGCCCGGUAGCUAAAUGCGGAAGAGAUAAGUGCUGAAAGCAUCUAAGCACGAAACUUGCCCCGAGAUGAGUUCUCCCUGACCCUUUAAGGGUCCUGAAGGAACGUUGAAGACGACGACGUUGAUAGGCCGGGUGUGUAAGCGCAGCGAUGCGUUGAGCUAACCGGUACUAAUGAACCGUGAGGCUUAACCUU